CUUAUGCGUUGUUGGGUAGGGGAGCGUUCUGUAAGCCUGCGAAGGUGUGCUGUGAGGCAUGCUGGAGGUAUCAGAAGUGCGAAUGCUGACAUAAGUAACGAUAAAGCGGGUGAAAAGCCCGCUCGCCGGAAGACCAAGGGUUCCUGUCCAACGUUAAUCGGGGCAGGGUGAGUCGACCCCUAAGGCGAGGCCGAAAGGCGUAGUCGAUGGGAAACAGGUUAAUAUUCCUGUACUUGGUGUUACUGCGAAGGGGGGACGGAGAAGGCUAUGUUGGCCGGGCGACGGUUGUCCCGGUUUAAGCGUGUAGGCUGGUUUUCCAGGCAAAUCCGGAAAAUCAAGGCUGAGGCGUGAUGACGAGGCACUACGGUGCUGAAGCAACAAAUGCCCUGCUUCCAGGAAAAGCCUCUAAGCAUCAGGUAACAUCAAAUCGUACCCCAAACCGACACAGGUGGUCAGGUAGAGAAUACCAAGGCGCUUGAGAGAACUCGGGUGAAGGAACUAGGCAAAAUGGUGCCGUAACU
RNAcentral lists this ribosomal RNA (521 nucleotides) under Escherichia coli. RNAcentral's name for it is "partial 23S ribosomal RNA". It matches the Rfam family "Bacterial large subunit ribosomal RNA", at positions 1213 to 1735 of the family's 2925-position model. The record is from RNAcentral. Lineage: Bacteria; Pseudomonadati; Pseudomonadota; Gammaproteobacteria; Enterobacterales; Enterobacteriaceae.